CUCCGCUUGGUGUAGUUGGUUGUCAGUACUCCCAAUACAAACUGAUCCAUGACGCAGUCAUACUAACCCGUAUUAGUAUCACGUUCGACUGUAAUAUACUUUGUAAUCGAAAGGUCCCUAGUUCGAUUCUGGGAGCGGAGA
Non-coding RNA from Setomelanomma holmii, 141 nucleotides. The record is from the annotation of a GenBank genome assembly. NCBI's taxonomy places the organism in Eukaryota, Fungi, Ascomycota, Dothideomycetes, Pleosporales, Phaeosphaeriaceae.